UACGUAGGUGGCAAGCGUUGUCCGGAAUUAUUGGGCGUAAAGCGCGCGCCGGCGGUCCCUUAAGUCUGAUGUGAAAGCCCACGGCUCAACCGUGGAGGGUCAUUGGAAACUGGGGGACUUGAGUACAGAAGAGGAAAGCGGAAUUCCACGUGUAGCGGUGAAAUGCGUAGAGAUGUGGAGGAACACCAGUGGCGAAGGCGGCUUUCUGGUCUGUAACUGACGCUGAGGCGCGAAAGCGUGGGGAGCAAACAGG
Molecule: ribosomal RNA, 253 nt
Filed under: uncultured bacterium
Lineage: Bacteria
Description: partial 16S ribosomal RNA
Rfam family: Bacterial small subunit ribosomal RNA
Source: RNAcentral